GCCGUUGUGACAUAGUGGUUUGAGUGUUUGACUAUGACUCGGGAGAACAGGGUUCAAUUCCCCACUCAGUCUCA
Phrynosoma platyrhinos (Desert horned lizard) is the source of this 74-nucleotide non-coding RNA. The record is from the annotation of a GenBank genome assembly. NCBI's taxonomy places the organism in Eukaryota, Metazoa, Chordata, Lepidosauria, Squamata, Phrynosomatidae.